GACAGAGGGUGCAAACGUUGUUCGGAAUUAUUGGGCGUAAAGAGCUCGUAGGCGGUCUGUCGCGUCGGAUGUGAAAACCCGGGGCUUAACCCCGGGCCUGCAUUCGAUACGGGCAGACUCGAGUGUGGUAGGGGAGACUGGAACUCCUGGUGUAGCGGUGAAAUGCGCAGAUAUCAGGAAGAACACCGGUGGCGAAGGCGGGUCUCUGGGCCACUACUGACGCUGAGGAGCGAAAGCGUGGGGAGCGAACAGG
RNAcentral lists this ribosomal RNA (253 nucleotides) under uncultured bacterium. RNAcentral's name for it is "partial 16S ribosomal RNA". It matches the Rfam family "Bacterial small subunit ribosomal RNA", at positions 524 to 776 of the family's 1533-position model. The record is from RNAcentral.